CCGGGCUAACAACGAACCCUACAAUCCGGUAGUUUUUCGAGUGAACUACCCAACUCGUUGUUUUACCCCGGGCUAACAACGAACCCUACAAUCCCCCAAUUUUAACUUAGGCUUGGGACACCUAUCCUUUGUUCCAAGUCCCUUGACUGGAACAAGCUCAAUAUUCAAACGUUUUACAAAGAUUUAAAAGCUCUUAUGAAG
Molecule: long non-coding RNA, 201 nt
Filed under: Phoenix dactylifera (date palm)
Lineage: Eukaryota; Viridiplantae; Streptophyta; Magnoliopsida; Arecales; Arecaceae
Description: long non-coding RNA (PDAC_LNC020185)
Source: RNAcentral